This 1004-nucleotide ribosomal RNA is filed under the name Alteromonas sp. RNAcentral's name for it is "bacterial SSU rRNA". It matches the Rfam family "Bacterial small subunit ribosomal RNA", at positions 76 to 1080 of the family's 1533-position model. Lineage: Bacteria; Pseudomonadati; Pseudomonadota; Gammaproteobacteria; Alteromonadales; Alteromonadaceae. The record is from RNAcentral.
UAGCUUGCUAGAAGAUGACGAGUGGCGGACGGGUGAGUAAUGCUUGGGAACUUGCCUUUGCGAGGGGGAUAACAGUUGGAAACGACUGCUAAUACCGCAUAAUGUCUUCGGACCAAACGGGGCUUCGGCUCCGGCGCAAAGAGAGGCCCAAGUGAGAUUAGCUAGUUGGUAAGGUAACGGCUUACCAAGGCGACGAUCUCUAGCUGUUCUGAGAGGAAGAUCAGCCACACUGGGACUGAGACACGGCCCAGACUCCUACGGGAGGCAGCAGUGGGGAAUAUUGCACAAUGGGGGAAACCCUGAUGCAGCCAUGCCGCGUGUGUGAAGAAGGCCUUCGGGUUGUAAAGCACUUUCAGUUGUGAGGAAAAGUUAGUAGUUAAUACCUGCUAGCCGUGACGUUAACAACAGAAGAAGCACCGGCUAACUCCGUGCCAGCAGCCGCGGUAAUACGGAGGGUGCGAGCGUUAAUCGGAAUUACUGGGCGUAAAGCGCACGCAGGCGGUUUGUUAAGCUAGAUGUGAAAGCCCCGGGCUCAACCUGGGAUGGUCAUUUAGAACUGGCAGACUAGAGUCUUGGAGAGGGGAGUGGAAUUCCAGGUGUAGCGGUGAAAUGCGUAGAUAUCUGGAGGAACAUCAGUGGCGAAGGCGACUCCCUGGCCAAAGACUGACGCUCAUGUGCGAAAGUGUGGGUAGCGAACAGGAUUAGAUACCCUGGUAGUCCACACCGUAAACGCUGUCUACUAGCUGUGUGUGUCUUUAAGACGUGCGUAGCGAAGCUAACGCGCUAAGUAGACCGCCUGGGGAGUACGGCCGCAAGGUUAAAACUCAAAUGAAUUGACGGGGGCCCGCACAAGCGGUGGAGCAUGUGGUUUAAUUCGAUGCAACGCGAAGAACCUUACCUACACUUGACAUGCUGAGAAGUUACUAGAGAUAGUUUCGUGCCUUCGGGAACUCAGACACAGGUGCUGCAUGGCUGUCGUCAGCUCGUGUCCUGAAAUGUUGGGU